AGACAGACAGACAAACAUUUAGAUGGAUGGACAGACAGACAGAAAUGUGGUAAACAGACAGACAGUUGAAUGGAUGGAUGGAUGGAUGGAUGGAUGGAUGGAUGAUGGACAGAGAGUUGAAUGGAUGGAUGGAUGGACAGACAGACAGGUGAAUAGAUGGAUGGAUGGAUGGAUGGAUGGAUAGAUGGAUGGACAGACAGGUGAAUAGAUGGAUGGAUGGAUGGAGGGAUAGAUGGAUGGACAGACAGGUGAAUAGAUAGAUGGAUGGAUGGACAGACAGGUGAAUAGAUGGAUGGAUGGAUGGAUAGAUGGAUGGACAGACAGGUGAGUAGAUGGAUGGAUGGAUGGACAGACAGGUGAAUAGAUCGAUGGAUGGAUGGAUUUAUAGAUGGAUGGACAGACAGGUGGAUAGAUGGAUGGAUGGAUGGAUAGAUGGAUGGACAGACAGGUGAAUAGAUGGAUGGAUGGAUAGAUAGAUGGAUGGACAGACAGGUGAAUAGAUAGAUGGAUGGAUGGACGGACAGGUGAAUAGAUAGAUGUAUGGAUUUAUAGAUGGAUGGACAGACAGGUGAAUAGAUGGAUGGAUGGAUGGACAGACAGGUGAAUAGAUGGAUGGAUGGAUGGAUGGAUGGAUGA
Molecule: long non-coding RNA, 636 nt
Organism: Ictalurus punctatus (channel catfish)
Lineage: Eukaryota; Metazoa; Chordata; Actinopteri; Siluriformes; Ictaluridae
Source: Ensembl